Molecule: ribosomal RNA, 452 nt
Filed under: Gemella morbillorum
Lineage: Bacteria; Bacillati; Bacillota; Bacilli; Caryophanales; Gemellaceae
Description: bacterial SSU rRNA
Rfam family: Bacterial small subunit ribosomal RNA
Source: RNAcentral
GACGAACGCUGGCGGCGUGCCUAAUACAUGCAAGUCGAGCGAAGUUUUUCUGGUGCUUGCACUAGAAAAACUUAGCGGCGAACGGGUGAGUAACACGUAAAGAACCUGCCUCAUAGACUGGGACAACUAUUGGAAACGAUAGCUAAUACCGGAUAACAGUAUUUCUCGCAUGAGAGAUAUUUAAAAGUUGGUUAUGCUAACACUAUGAGAUGGCUUUGCGGUGCAUUAGCUAGUUGGUGGGGUAAAGGCCUACCAAGGCGACGAUGCAUAGCCGACCUGAGAGGGUGAUCGGCCACACUGGGACUGAGACACGGCCCAGACUCCUACGGGAGGCAGCAGUAGGGAAUCUUCCGCAAUGGGCGAAAGCCUGACGGAGCAACGCCGCGUGAGUGAAGAAGGAUUUCGGUUCGUAAAGCUCUGUUGUUAGGGAAGAAUGGAUAUGUAGUAACUAU